This is a long non-coding RNA of Strongylocentrotus purpuratus (purple sea urchin), 731 nucleotides long. RefSeq lists it as uncharacterized. The transcript has 3 exons. The record is from RefSeq and is a predicted model, not a curated record. NCBI's taxonomy places the organism in Eukaryota, Metazoa, Echinodermata, Echinoidea, Camarodonta, Strongylocentrotidae.
CACAAGCCAAGUUUCCGUCAGACUUUUACAGUAAAUUUCUUGCAGAAACACUGACUGAACGGCGGAAUAGAUCUCUUAAUGCUGCCUAUUUCAGCAACAGUAUGUGUCUCAUCAACAUAUUCUUUAAUGAACUGAGUCGGCAAACAAACACUCAACAAGAAGCUUAUGGGUUUUAUAGUCUUCUUUGUGACAUCGGUGGCUCUCUUGGUAUGUGGAUAGGAGGGAGUAUUCUUACCCUCUGCGAGGUUCUCGACAUCAUUGGUUAUUCUAUACACAAGGGAAGAUCGUCUUAAAGCGACACUGAACUUGACUGAAGUGAUGAACUUUCUGCCCUAGCAUACUGUUCAGACCCAUCUAUACACAGAGUUUGGCCAACCCGGUUCGAGUUGUACACAAUAUGGCGACUACUGCUUUAUUGGGCAAGCACAAAACAAAAGAAUAUACGCCAUGUUGUGACCCAGGGAAACCAAGUUGGCUAAACUUUGUAUAUAGAUGGCUCUGUUACUGUUCAUUGCACAGCGUCAUCUCAUGAUCAACUUGCCAACAGUGCGAAACCCAAUACCUAAUUUCCCAUUCGCAGACACAUGACUCGACGCGAAAACAGUGUAGCUAGGGAAGCAGCGAAUUACGGGCUCAUAAUACUGCUGCAACUUAACUGAGAUGGCGCUAUAGGGGAUUUUGAAGUAGUACGAUUGUUUUCAUAUACAUACACAUGUAUAACCAGAAAACUG